RNAcentral lists this ribosomal RNA (530 nucleotides) under uncultured bacterium. RNAcentral describes it as "partial 16S ribosomal RNA". It matches the Rfam family "Bacterial small subunit ribosomal RNA", at positions 28 to 523 of the family's 1533-position model. The record is from RNAcentral.
GACGAACGCUGGCGGCGUGCCUAAUACAUGCAAGUCGAACGAACUCUGGUAUUGAUUGGUGCUUGCAUCAUGAUUUACAUUUGAGUGAGUGGCGAACUGGUGAGUAACACGUGGGAAACCUGCCCAGAAGCGGGGGAUAACACCUGGAAACAGAUGCUAAUACCGCAUAACAACUUGGACCGCAUGGUCCGAGCUUGAAAGAUGGCUUCGGCUAUCACUUUUGGAUGGUCCCGCGGCGUAUUAGCUAGAUGGUGGGGUAAUGGCUCACCAUGGAAAUGAUACGUAGCCGACCUGAGAGGGUAAUCGGCCACAUUGGGACUGAGACACGGCCCAAACUCCUACGGGAGGCAGCAGUAGGGAAUCUUCCACAAUGGACGAAAGUCUGAUGGAGCAACGCCGCGUGAGUGAAGAAGGGUUUCGGCUCGUAAAACUCUGUUGUUAAAGAAGAACAUAUCUGAGAGUAACUGUUCAGGUAUUGACGGUAUUUAACCAGAAAGCCACGGCUAACUACGUGCCAGCCGCCGCAGUAA